GUGUUCUCUUCAGCAGCACACGUACUAAAAUUGGACUGAUGCAGAGAACAUAGCACGGCCCCUGUGCAAGGAUGACAUGCAAAUUUGUGAAGCAUUCCAUAUAUAU
Molecule: small nuclear RNA, 106 nt
Organism: Phyllostomus discolor (pale spear-nosed bat)
Lineage: Eukaryota; Metazoa; Chordata; Mammalia; Chiroptera; Phyllostomidae
Source: RefSeq, a predicted model, not a curated record